This 787-nucleotide ribosomal RNA is filed under the name Clostridioides difficile. RNAcentral describes it as "partial 23S ribosomal RNA". It matches the Rfam family "Bacterial large subunit ribosomal RNA", at positions 2136 to 2925 of the family's 2925-position model. Lineage: Bacteria; Bacillati; Bacillota; Clostridia; Peptostreptococcales; Peptostreptococcaceae. The record is from RNAcentral.
GUACAGGAUAGGUGGGAGGCUUUGAAACCAGGACGCCAGUUUUGGCGGAGCCAUCCUUGGGAUACCACCCUUGUAGUACUGGGACUCUAACCAUAGGCCAUGAAUCUGGUCUUGGGACACUGUCAGGUGGGCAGUUUGACUGGGGCGGUCGCCUCCCAAAAGGUAACGGAGGCGCUCAAAGGUUCUCUCAGUACGGUCGGAAAUCGUACGUAGAGUGUAAAGGCAAAAGAGAGCUUGAUUGCAAGACAUACAGGUCGAGCAAGGAUGAAAAUCGGACUUAGUGAUCCGGUGGUUCUGCGUGGAAGGGCCAUCGCUCAACGGAUAAAAGCUACCCUGGGGAUAACAGGCUUAUCUCCCCCAAGAGUCCACAUCGACGGGGAGGUUUGGCACCUCGAUGUCGGCUCAUCACAUCCUGGGGCUGUAGUAGGUCCCAAGGGUUGGGCUGUUCGCCCAUUAAAGUGGUACGCGAGCUGGGUUCAGAACGUCGUGAGACAGUUCGGUCCCUAUCCGUCGCAGGCGUAGGAAAUUUGAGAAGACCUGUCCUUAGUACGAGAGGACCGGGAUGGACGUACCUCUGGUGUACCAGUUGUCCUGCCAAGGGCAUGGCUGGGUAGCUAUGUACGGAAUGGAUAAGCGCUGAAAGCAUCUAAGCGCGAAGCCAACUUCAAGAUAAGAUUUCCCACCGCAAGGGUAAGACCCCAGAAAGACUAUCUGGUUGAUAGGUCGAAGGUGUAAGUGCAGCAAUGUAUUUAGCUUAUCGAUACUAAUAGGUCGAGGACUUGACCAA